CCUACGGGUGGCUGCAGUGAGGAAUAUUGGUCAAUGGACGCAAGUCUGAACCAGCCAUGCCGCGUGCAGGAUGACGGCUCUAUGAGUUGUAAACUGCUUUUGUACGGGGGUAAACUCCGAUACGUGUAUCUGGUUGAACGUAUCUUACGAAUAAGGAUCGGCUAACUCCGUGCCAGCAGCCGCGGUAAUACGGAGGAUCCGAGCGUUAUCCGGAUUUAUUGGGUUUAAAGGGUGCGUAGACGGUUUGUUAAGUUAGAUGUGAAAUGUUGGGGCUCAACCCCAAAAUUGCCUUGAAUACUGUUGGACUUGAGUACAGUUGCGGUAGGCGGAAUGCAUGGUGUAGCGGUGAAAUGCUUAGAGAUCACGCAGAACACCGAUUGCGAAGGCAGCUUACCAAACUAUAUCUGACGUUGAGGCACGAAAGUGUGGGUAGCAAACAGGAUUAGAUACCCUUGUAGUC
RNAcentral lists this ribosomal RNA (460 nucleotides) under uncultured bacterium. Its description in RNAcentral is "partial 16S ribosomal RNA". It matches the Rfam family "Bacterial small subunit ribosomal RNA", at positions 338 to 795 of the family's 1533-position model. The record is from RNAcentral.